GAUGCAAGUGAUGAAGAAAAGAAUAGGGACAUCAGAACUCCUUGCGAGACUGUUGACUAAUUCUUUGGGAAUCUCUCUGAUGCACC
Molecule: small nucleolar RNA, 86 nt
Organism: Cryptomeria japonica (Japanese cedar)
Lineage: Eukaryota; Viridiplantae; Streptophyta; Pinopsida; Cupressales; Cupressaceae
Product: small nucleolar RNA R44/J54/Z268 family
Exons: 1
Source: RefSeq, a predicted model, not a curated record